UACGAAGGGGGCUAGCGUUGCUCGGAAUCACUGGGCGUAAAGGGUGCGUAGGCGGGUCUUUAAGUCAGGGGUGAAAUCCUGGAGCUCAACUCCAGAACUGCCUUUGAUACUGAAGAUCUUGAGUUCGGGAGAGGUGAGUGGAACUGCGAGUGUAGAGGUGAAAUUCGUAGAUAUUCGCAAGAACACCAGUGGCGAAGGCGGCUCACUGGCCCGAUACUGACGCUGAGGCACGAAAGCGAUGGGGAGCAAACAGGG
Molecule: ribosomal RNA, 255 nt
Filed under: uncultured bacterium
Lineage: Bacteria
Description: partial 16S ribosomal RNA
Rfam family: Bacterial small subunit ribosomal RNA
Source: RNAcentral